Molecule: transfer RNA, 81 nt
Filed under: Cordylochernes scorpioides
Lineage: Eukaryota; Metazoa; Arthropoda; Arachnida; Pseudoscorpiones; Chernetidae
Description: tRNA-Thr
Source: RNAcentral
UGUCCAGGGAUGGGAAACGAACCCACAGUGUUCCGCUUACCGGGCAGAUGCCAUGUCCAAUAGGCUACCCUUGUAACUGAC